GCGUAAUUCAAGGGUGUGGCGCGAGCUCCCUAGGGAGCGAAGCAAUUGGAAGUGGUUCCAAGAAAAGCCUCUAAGCUUCAGUCUAACGAUGACCGUACCGCAAACCGACACAGGUGGGCGAGAUGAGUAUUCUAAGGCGCUUGAGAGAACUCGGGAGAAGGAACUCGGCAAAUUGGUACCGUAACUUCGGGAUAAGGUACGCCCUUGUAGCUUGACUGGCCUGCGCCAGGAGGGUGAAGGGGUUGCAAUAAACUGGUGGCUGCGACUGUUUAAUAAAAACACAGCACUCUGCAAACACGAAAGUGGACGUAUAGGGUGUGACGCCUGCCCGGUGCCGGAAGAUUAAAUGAUGGGGUGCAAGCUCUUGAUUGAAGUCCCGGUAAACGGCGGCCGUAACUAUAACGGUCCUAAGGUAGCGAAAUUCCUUGUCGGGUAAGUUCCGACCUGCACGAAUGGCGUAACGAUGGCCACACUGUCUCCUCCCGAGACUCAGCGAAGUUGAAGUGUUUGUGAUGAUGCAAUCUACCCGCGGCUAGACGGAAAGACCCCAUGAACCUUUACUGUAGCUUUGCAUUGGACUUUGAACCGAUCUGUGUAGGAUAGGUGGGAGGCUAUGAAACCGGAACGCUAGUUUCGGUGGAGCCGUCCUUGAAAUACCACCCUGGUUUGUUUGAGGUUCUAACCUUGGCCCGUGAUCCGGGUCGGGGACAGUGCAUGGUAGGCAGUUUGACUGGGGCGGUCUCCUCCCAAAGCGUAACGGAGGAGUACGAAGGUACGCUAGGUACGGUCGGAAAUCGUGCUGAUAGUGCAAUGGCAUAAGCGUGCUUAACUGCGAGACCGACAAGUCGAGCAGGUGCGAAAGCAGGUCAUAGUGAUCCGGUGGUUCUGUAUGGAAGGGCCAUCGCUCAACGGAUAAAAGGUACUCUGGGGAUAACAGGCUGAUACCGCCCAAGAGUUCAUAUCGACGGCGGUGUUUGGCACCUCGAUGUCGGCUCAUCUCAUCCUGGGGCUGUAGCCGGUCCCAAGGGUAUGGCUGUUCGCCAUUUAAAGAGGUACGUGAGCUGGGUUUAAAACGUCGUGAGACAGUUUGGUCCCUAUCUGCCGUGGGCGUUGGAUAUUUGAAGGGGGCUGCUCCUAGUACGAGAGGACCGGAGUGGACGAACCUCUGGUGUACCGGUUGUCACGCCAGUGGCAUCGCCGGGUAGCUAUGUUCGGAAGAGAUAACCGCUGAAAGCAUCUAAGCGGGAAACUCGCCUUAAGAUGAGAUAUCCCUGGGGACUAGAUCCCCUUGAAGGGUCGUUCGAGACCAGGACGUUGAUAGGUCAGGUGUGUAAGCGCAGUAAUGCGUUCAGCUAACUGAUACUAAUUGCCCGUAAGGCUUGAUCCU
RNAcentral lists this ribosomal RNA (1387 nucleotides) under Burkholderia seminalis. Its description in RNAcentral is "partial 23S ribosomal RNA". It matches the Rfam family "Bacterial large subunit ribosomal RNA", at positions 1549 to 2925 of the family's 2925-position model. Lineage: Bacteria; Pseudomonadati; Pseudomonadota; Betaproteobacteria; Burkholderiales; Burkholderiaceae. The record is from RNAcentral.